GAUGAACGCUGGCGGCGUGCUUAACACAUGCAAGUCGAACGGAAAGGCCCCAGCUUGCUGGGGUACUCGAGUGGCGAACGGGUGAGUAACACGUGGGUGAUCUGCCCUGCACUUUGGGAUAAGCUUGGGAAACUGGGUCUAAUACCGAAUAUGACCACUUCUUGGAUGUUGUGGUGGAAAGCUUUUGCGGUGUGGGAUGAGCCUGCGGCCUAUCAGCUUGUUGGUGGGGUGAUGGCCUACCAAGGCGGCGACGGGUAUCCGGCCUGAGAGGGUGUACGGACACAUUGGGACUGAGAUGCGGCCCAGACUCCUACGGGAGGCAGCAGUGGGGAAUAUUGCACAAUGGGCGCAAGCCUGAUGCAGCGACGCCGCGUGGGGGAUGAAGGCCUUCGGGUUGUAAACUCCUUUCGCUAUCGACGAAGCCACUUGUGGUGACGGUAGGUAGAUAAGAAGCACCGGCUAACUACGUGCCAGCCGCCGCAGUAA
Molecule: ribosomal RNA, 486 nt
Filed under: uncultured bacterium
Lineage: Bacteria
Description: partial 16S ribosomal RNA
Rfam family: Bacterial small subunit ribosomal RNA
Source: RNAcentral